UCCGAGUUGACCCCGGCAGUCUCCUAUGAGUCCCCGGCAUUAUCCGCUGGCAACAUAGGACGAGGGUUGCGCUCGUUGCGGGACUUAACCCAACAUCUCACGACACGAGCUGACGACAGCCAUGCAGCACCUGUGCAUGGACUCCGAAGAUGGGCCCUCGUUUCUGAGGGCUUUCCCAUGCAUGUCAAGCCCAGGUAAGGUUCUUCGCGUCGCUUCGAAUUAAGCCACAUGCUCCGCCGCUUGUGCGGGCCCCCGUCAAUUACUUUGAGUUUUAGCCUUGCGGCCGUACUCCCCAGGCGGGGUGCUUAAUGCGUUAGCUUCGGCACGGACGGGGUCGAUAUCCGCCCACACCUAGCACCCAACGUUUACGGCUAGGACUAC
RNAcentral lists this unclassified non-coding RNA (381 nucleotides) under uncultured Actinomycetes bacterium. RNAcentral's name for it is "uncultured actinobacterium contains 16S-23S intergenic spacer region". Lineage: Bacteria; Bacillati; Actinomycetota; Actinomycetes. The record is from RNAcentral.